This 353-nucleotide ribosomal RNA is filed under the name uncultured Bacillus sp. RNAcentral's name for it is "bacterial SSU rRNA". It matches the Rfam family "Bacterial small subunit ribosomal RNA", at positions 1028 to 1374 of the family's 1533-position model. Lineage: Bacteria; Bacillati; Bacillota; Bacilli; Caryophanales; Bacillaceae. The record is from RNAcentral.
AGGGAGACAGGUGGUGCAUGGUUGUCGUCAGCUCGUGUCGUGAGAUGUUGGUUAAGUCCCGCAACGAGCGCAACCCCUACGUUUAGUUGCUAACGCGUGAAGGCGAGCACUCUAGACGAACUGCCGUUGACAAAACGGAGGAAGGUGGGAUGACGUCAAAUCAUCAUGCCCCUUAUGUUCUGGGCUCACACGUGCUACAAUGGCCGGUACAGACGGACGCAAAGCCGCGAGGUGGAGCAAAUCCUAAAAAGCCGGUCUCAGUUCGGAUUGCAGGCUGCAAUUCGCCUGCAUGAAGUCGGAAUCGCUAGUAAUCGCAGGUCAGCAUACUCGCGGUCCGAAUACGUUCCGGCCUU